CCUACGGGAGGCUGCAGUGGGGAAUAUUGGACAAUGGGGGGAACCCUGAUCCAGCCAUGCCGCGUGUGUGAAGAAGGCCCUCGGGUUGUAAAGCACUUUCAGUGAGGAAGAACGCCUGGUGGUUAAUACCCAUCAGGAAAGACAUCACUCACAGAAGAAGCACCGGCUAACUCCGGGCCAGCAGCCGCGGUAAUACGGAGGGGGCGAGCGUUAAUCGGAAUUACUGGGCGUAAAGCGCGCGUAGGUGGCUUGAUAAGCCGGUUGUGAAAGCCCCGGGCUCAACCUGGGAACGGCAUCCGGAACUGGCAAGCUAGAGUGCAGGAGAGGAAGGUAGAAUUCCCGGUGUAGCGGUGAAAUGCGUAGAGAUUGGGAGGAAUUCCAGUGGCGAAGGCGGCCUUCUGGACUGACACUGACACUGAGGUGCGAAAGCGUGGGUAGCAAACAGGAUUAGAUACCCCUGUAGUC
Molecule: ribosomal RNA, 465 nt
Filed under: Vreelandella stevensii
Lineage: Bacteria; Pseudomonadati; Pseudomonadota; Gammaproteobacteria; Oceanospirillales; Halomonadaceae
Description: partial 16S ribosomal RNA
Rfam family: Bacterial small subunit ribosomal RNA
Source: RNAcentral